RNAcentral lists this long non-coding RNA (1051 nucleotides) under Capra hircus (goat). Its description in RNAcentral is "lncRNA (ENSCHIG00010004056.1)". Lineage: Eukaryota; Metazoa; Chordata; Mammalia; Artiodactyla; Bovidae. The record is from RNAcentral.
AUGCAGAGACAGGAGACACGAGUUCAGUCCCUGGGUUCAGAAGAUUCCCUGGAGGAGGAAAUGGCAAUCGACUCUAGUAUUCUUGUCUGGAAAAUUCCAUGGACAGAAGAAGCUGGCAGGCUGUAGUCCAUAGGGUCACAAAGAGUUGGACAUGACCCAGUGACUAAGCACACCACAAACACACAGACACACACACAUUAGAUUGAUGUGAUGAAUUCACCUUCGGCCUCCAAAAUAUAAACCCUCCAGUUAUUUUUUCCCUCCCUGUUUCCCCCUGCCCUGCAGCAGUCCUCCACAGGCUCACGGGAAGAGGCAGCCUCUAACAACACAGCAGAAGGGAACUUGCAGGAUGGGGAGAAGAAAGGGCUCAGGUUCACUGCUGUCAGCAAAAAGCUCCUAUAAACAGAGAAGCACAUUAAGCCCUUCUGUUAAUAUGCUGUCUAGACUUGAAAAGAUUGCUUUUCUCUCUGUCUUCUAAGCUUCAACUUUUGACCUUGUUUCUGUCCUUGUGUCUGUACUGGACUCAAGCAAUUCUUCAACAGUCAAUUUACUGAACUACUUGUCACCUAAGCUACUGCUGUGACUGGGUGGGGACAUGAUCCCUGUGAAAUGAAUGGAAAACUUGAUGACAAUUGACCCCCGAGGCAGAAAAUGCAGUGAGUCCCCCUUCUUCUGGUUUAAGGGUAAAAUGAUACUCUCCCCAGAAACUGGAGCAGAUAAUCCCUUUGUUGAUUGUGGAUGGAAUCUUGGAAGGUACUGGAGGGAGGCUUGAGAAGAAGAGCUUAUGAGUUCCACACUCGGGGAUAGAAACCAGUUCUUAGCAACAUGAAUGCAAGUCUUUUUUUGGACUAUGUUUUACUCUGGGACGUUUCUUCUUCCUCUCCACAUUCCCAGGGCCUUUAUGCUAACAGCUAGUUGCUCAAGUCUCUCUCCAAUACGUAAUAUUUAUUAAGCACUUGAUGCAUGCCAGGCAUUUCUAAGCACUCAUCUAACUGUUCUCUUUUAAUCCUCCCAACUGCAAUAUUACAAGGUAGAUACUCUUGUUAUUGUC